Molecule: small nuclear RNA, 111 nt
Filed under: Oryza brachyantha (malo sina)
Lineage: Eukaryota; Viridiplantae; Streptophyta; Magnoliopsida; Poales; Poaceae
Description: snRNA U5
Rfam family: U5 spliceosomal RNA
About the family: U5 RNA is a component of both types of known spliceosome. The precise function of this molecule is unknown, though it is known that the 5' loop is required for splice site selection and p220 binding, and that both the 3' stem-loop and the Sm site are important for Sm protein binding and cap methylation.
Source: Rfam by way of RNAcentral
AGCUGCGUGGUGAGCACAAAGCGAAUUAUUCUUUCGCCUUUUACUAAAGAAUAACGUGUGCGCGUCAUAAAUAGCAGCAUACUCUUAUUUUGAAAUUCAAAAUGUUAGAAU